RNAcentral lists this ribosomal RNA (404 nucleotides) under Actinomycetes bacterium. RNAcentral describes it as "Actinobacteria bacterium partial 16S ribosomal RNA". It matches the Rfam family "Bacterial small subunit ribosomal RNA", at positions 355 to 776 of the family's 1533-position model. Lineage: Bacteria; Bacillati; Actinomycetota; Actinomycetes. The record is from RNAcentral.
UGGGGAAUAUUGGACAAUGGGCGCAAGCCUGAUCCAGCCAUGCCGCGUGAGUGAUGAAGGCCCUAGGGUUGUAAAGCUCUUUCACCGGUGAAGAUAAUGACGGUAACCGGAGAAGAAGCCCCGGCUAACUUCGUGCCAGCAGCCGCGGUAAUACGAAGGGGGCUAGCGUUGUUCGGAUUUACUGGGCGUAAAGCGCACGUAGGCGGACUUUUAAGUCAGGGGUGAAAUCCCGGGGCUCAACCCCGGAACUGCCUUUGAUACUGGAAGUCUUGAGUAUGGUAGAAGUGAGUGGAAUUCCGAGUGUAGAGGUGAAAUUCGUAGAUAUUCGGAGGAACACCAGUGGCGAAGGCGGCUCACUGGACCAUUACUGACGCUGAGGUGCGAAAGCGGGGGGAUCAAACAGG